GUAACAAUCCCCUUUCCUCAUUAAUGGUCUGUCAUUGAAUAUAGAGCAGAUCUGCAGCGGAAGUGUGUGAACAUCAACAGCUAAAAAAAUUAGAAAGAUAACACAAGAUGCAUAUAGAUUCUGCUUCUCACUCGUAAAAGCCAAGAAUUCUGAUUUCAUUCCCAUAAUUUGCAUGAGAUCUUUCAAAAUCAAAUGCCAUUUUUCACUGCAAAAUUUUUGAAACAAGAACAAAGUGCAACCGGUAAAAAUGAAAGAAAGAGCCCGGUAAAUGAAAAUAUAUAUAUACAUCACAAGUAACAUAACAAGUACAUUGUAUACCUUUCUCACGUGAAAAAUGAGCCAAUCUUUGUGGUUUUAGAAAAUGAAGCCACUGCACAUAAACACCAA
This 387-nucleotide long non-coding RNA is filed under the name Erythranthe guttata (spotted monkey flower). RNAcentral's name for it is "long non-coding RNA (EGUT_LNC000916)". The record is from RNAcentral. Lineage: Eukaryota; Viridiplantae; Streptophyta; Magnoliopsida; Lamiales; Phrymaceae.